GAAGAGUGAUCAUUUAGAGAC
RNAcentral lists this microRNA (21 nucleotides) under Rosa chinensis. Its description in RNAcentral is "sRNA RchiOBHm_Chr2g0136725". Lineage: Eukaryota; Viridiplantae; Streptophyta; Magnoliopsida; Rosales; Rosaceae. The record is from RNAcentral.